This 795-nucleotide ribosomal RNA is filed under the name uncultured bacterium. RNAcentral's name for it is "bacterial SSU rRNA". It matches the Rfam family "Bacterial small subunit ribosomal RNA", at positions 8 to 796 of the family's 1533-position model. The record is from RNAcentral.
AGAGUUUGAUCAUGGCUCAGAUUGAACGCUGGCGGCAUGCCUUACACAUGCAAGUCGAGCGGCAGCGCGGGGGCAACCCUGGCGGCGAGCGGCGCACGGGUGAGUAAUGCAUCGGGAACGUGUCCUCUUGUGGGGGGAUAACCAGUCGAAAGACUGGCUAAUACCGCAUGAGCACGAGAGUGGAAAGCGGGGGACCGUAAGGCCUCGCGCGAGAGGAGCGGCCGAUGCCGGAUUAGCUAGUUGGCGGGGUAAAAGCCCACCAAGGCGACGAUCCGUAGCUGGUCUGAGAGGACGACCAGCCACACUGGGACUGAGACACGGCCCAGACUCCUACGGGAGGCAGCAGUGGGGAAUUUUGGACAAUGGGGGCAACCCUGAUCCAGCCAUGCCGCGUGUGUGAAGAAGGCCUUCGGGUUGUAAAGCACUUUCGGACGGAACGAAAUCGCACGAUCUAACAAGUCGUGUGGAUGACGGUACCGUAAGAAGAAGCACCGGCUAACUACGUGCCAGCAGCCGCGGUAAUACGUAGGGUGCGAGCGUUAAUCGGAAUUACUGGGCGUAAAGUGUGCGCAGGCGGCAGAGCAAGUCGAGUGUGAAAGCCCCGAGCUUAACUUGGGAAUUGCGCUCGAAACUACUUUGCUGGAGUGUGGCAGAGGAAGGUGGAAUUCCACGUGUAGCGGUGAAAUGCGUAGAGAUGUGGAGGAACACCAAUGGCGAAGGCAGCCUUCUGGGCCAACACUGACGCUCAUGCACGAAAGCGUGGGGAGCAAACAGGAUUAGAUACCCUAGUAGUCC